UACGGAAGGCAGCAGUGGGGAAUAUUGCACAAUGGGCGCAAGCCUGAUGCAGCCAUGCCGCGUGUAUGAAGAAGGCCUUCGGGUUGUAAAGUACUUUCAGUCGUGAGGAAGGUGUUAAGGUUAAUAACCUUAGCAAUUGACGUUAGCGACAGAAGAAGCACCGGCUAACUCCGUGCCAGCAGCCGCGGUAAUACGGAGGGUGCGAGCGUUAAUCGGAAUUACUGGGCGUAAAGGGCACGCAGGCGGUUAAUUAAGUUGGAUGUGAAAUCCCCGGGCUUAACCUGGGAAUGGCAUUCAAGACUGGUUAGCUAGAGUCUUGUAGAGGGGGUAGAAUUCCAUGUGUAGCGGUGAAAUGCGUAGAGAUGUGGAGGAAUACCGGUGGCGAAAGGCGGCCCCUGGACAAAGACUGACGCUCAUGUGCGAAAGCGUGGGGAGCAAAAC
This 441-nucleotide ribosomal RNA is filed under the name uncultured bacterium. Its description in RNAcentral is "bacterial SSU rRNA". It matches the Rfam family "Bacterial small subunit ribosomal RNA", at positions 340 to 774 of the family's 1533-position model. The record is from RNAcentral.